This 455-nucleotide ribosomal RNA is filed under the name uncultured bacterium. RNAcentral describes it as "bacterial SSU rRNA". It matches the Rfam family "Bacterial small subunit ribosomal RNA", at positions 8 to 463 of the family's 1533-position model. The record is from RNAcentral.
AGAGUUUGAUCCUGGCUCAGAUUGAACGCUGGCGGCAUGCUUUACACAUGCAAGUCGAACGGCAGCACGGGUGCUUGCACCUGGUGGCGAGUGGCGAACGGGUGAGUAAUGCACCGGAACGUACCCAGUAAUGGGGGAUAACACAUCGAAAGAUGUGCUAAUACCGCAUACGCCCUGAGGGGGAAAGCGGGGGAUCGUAAGACCUCGCGUUAUUGGAGCGGCCGAUGCCGGAUUAGCUAGUUGGUGAGGUAAGAGCUCACCAAGGCGACGAUCCGUAGCUGGUCUGAGAGGACGACCAGCCACACCGGGACUGAGACACGGCCCAGACUCCUACGGGAGGCAGCAGUGGGGAAUUUUGGACAAUGGGCGCAGGCCUGAUCCAGCCAUGCCGCGUGAGUGAAGAAGGCCUUCGGGUUGUAAAGCUCUUUCGCAAGGAAAGAAAACUUAUCUACUAA